UAGGGGAUAUUAGAAAUGGACGAAAGUCUGAUCUAGCAACACCGCGUGUGCGAAGAAGGCCUUCGGGUCGUAAAGCACUUUUUGGAAGGAAUAGGAAGGAAUGUACUUCCAGAAUAAGUCUCGGCUAACUACGUGCCAGCAGCCGCGGUAACACGUAGGAGGCAAACGUUAUCCGGAUUUACUGGUCGUAAAGCGCGUGUAGGUGGUACUGUAAGUAGGGCGUGAAAGCUCCUGGCUCAACUGGGAGAGGCCGUUCUAAACUACAGAACUAGAGGAUGGUAGAGGGAGGUGGAAUUCCAGGUGUAGCGGUGGAAUGCGCAGAUAUCUGGAGGAACACCGGUGGCGAAGGCGGCCUCCUGGACCAUUCCUGACACUCAGACGCGAAAGCUAGGGUAGC
Molecule: ribosomal RNA, 397 nt
Filed under: uncultured bacterium
Lineage: Bacteria
Description: bacterial SSU rRNA
Rfam family: Bacterial small subunit ribosomal RNA
Source: RNAcentral